AGAUAUUUGAGUAACUUGAGAAGAAAGUGGGCAGUUCCAUUUUCACACAAGUUCCCUGGUGCAGAUCCUCUGGCUCUGCGUUUACUUCAGCGUCUGCUUGCAUUUGAUCCUAAAGACCGCCCAUCUGCCGAAGAGAUAAGAUUUACUGAAAUCGUGUUUAAUUGGCUUUUUCUAUAUUUUUAUGUACUUGGUAUCCGUACUGUAAACUCUGUGUACUUUUCUUUCCUAACCCUGCUUAUUGUUUUAUUUACAAGCAUUAGCUGAUCCAUAUUUUCAUGGACUGGCAAACCUUGAAGAGGAACCUUCCAGGAAACCUAUUUCAAAACUUGAGUUUGAAUUUGAGAGGAGGAAAUUGAUAAAAGAUGAUGUAAGAGAGUUAAUAUAU
Molecule: long non-coding RNA, 385 nt
Filed under: Citrus maxima (pomelo)
Lineage: Eukaryota; Viridiplantae; Streptophyta; Magnoliopsida; Sapindales; Rutaceae
Description: long non-coding RNA (CMAX_LNC000980)
Source: RNAcentral